Long non-coding RNA from Drosophila gunungcola (fruit fly), 1243 nucleotides. RefSeq lists it as uncharacterized. The transcript has 4 exons. NCBI's taxonomy places the organism in Eukaryota, Metazoa, Arthropoda, Insecta, Diptera, Drosophilidae. The record is from RefSeq and is a predicted model, not a curated record.
AAAUAUUCAAAAUCUGUAAAUCUUAUUUUAAUCAUAUGAGAACAUUUUUCGCACGUUUUCCAUUUGUAUCAUUUUUACAAAGCUAUCAAUGAAAUGUAGGAAUUGAAUUAACUAUUUAGGAGCACUUCUAGUCAAGAAACACAAACAUCUGAAAUGUGUUAUACUUCGUUUACAUUUUUCCUGUGAAUUUCCAGUUUGCCAAACUGUGUAGAAUUUAGAGUGCCCCAGAAUUGGCUGCAACAAAAGUGGAGGGAUUAAGUAAGCGGCGGCAGAACAAACCGUUUUACAUGGCAAUUAUGUAGGAACAAGCCUGGCGCCUGACCCCUAAAUUUGGGCCGGCAGGAGCCGUGUAGAACUAAACCCGUUUCAGUGGCCAAUUCAAGGAUGAAGCAUCAAAUAUCCCGGGCUGUCAAAAGUAUUUGUCGAGAGAUUUUCGGCUCCACUAUGGAUGGGCUCCGAUCGCCGGCUCUUUUUACCUUCGGCGCGUUAUUAGACUUUUUGUGCGCCACUUAAAGCAAGUCCCUUUCCGAAUUACGGAUUUCGUAUUUCGCAUUCAGAGUGCCAUUCGCCAGCGAAUCGCACACCUCCGCCAUAUUCCAUAUGCCACACCUUCACUUGCACAGUCACGCAAUUCAUCGGCUGCGGAUCCGGAUCCGGGUCGGAGUACGGGGUCUCUGGGUACGGGUGUGAGUGCUACGGUACUGCGGCAUUAUUGCCUGUUGCUUUUGCCAGUGGCAAAUGGCACUGCCGCACCACAGCUGAUGUGGUCGGCCGUAAACAUGCGGCAGCGGAUGAGUGGGCGUGGGACUCCGCCGGAGUGCGGACUCCGUGUUCCACACUCCACUCCACUCCGCGCCACUCGACAGUAACGGGUAGUCGUCGUCGUCACACACAAGUAAUUGCAAUCAGCACCUUGGCAACAAGCAGCUGGGCCAAAGUAAUAUAAAAAAAAAGAAAACUGGGCCACUGACGAAUUUAUUUAUAAGGCAAUCCGUAACUCACAGUGCGUGCUGCCGUAUAUCUUAACACCUGAAUGCCAAACGAACUCUUGGAACUCAGGCCAAGCGAGUGGAUUUAAAUUUAUUGUGUUUAAUGGUCAUCUGCCUGCAAUUUAUAUGCUUAUUUUGAGUUCUUUAUUAUAAUUUCUUUGGCGCACAGAACUAAAGGUCGUAAAAAUGAUAGAGGUGAUACUUUUAAAAUACAAAUUGCAUUAAUAUAUUACGAGGAAGUGAGAAAACUUAUA